GGGGGGGGGGGGGGGGGGGGGGGGGGGGGGGGGGGGGGGGGGAGGGCGGGGGAGCUUGCUCCGCUGACGUUAGCGGCGGACGGGUGAGUAACCCGUGGAUACCCGACCUAUAAGACUGGGAUAACUGCGGGAAACCGGAGCUACUACCGGAUAACAUGGUGAACCGCAUGGUUAAACAGUGCAAUACGGUCUUGCUGUCCCUUCGAGUUCGAUCCGCGCAGCAUUAGCUAGUUGGUAAGGUAACGGCUUACCAAGGCAACGAUGCGUAGCCGACAUGAGAGGGUGAUCGGCCACACUGGAACUGAGACACGGUCCAGACUCCUACGGGAGGCAGCAGUAGGGAAUCUUCCGCAAUGGGCGAAAGCCUGACGGAGCAACGCCGCGUGAGUGAAGAAGGUCUUCGGAUCGUAAAACUCUGUUAUUAGGGAAGAACAAAUGUGUAAGUAACUAUGCACGUCUUGACGGUACCUAAUCAGAAAGCCACGGCUAACUACGUG
Molecule: ribosomal RNA, 497 nt
Filed under: uncultured bacterium
Lineage: Bacteria
Description: partial 16S ribosomal RNA
Rfam family: Bacterial small subunit ribosomal RNA
Source: RNAcentral